Molecule: long non-coding RNA, 640 nt
Organism: Papaver somniferum (opium poppy)
Lineage: Eukaryota; Viridiplantae; Streptophyta; Magnoliopsida; Ranunculales; Papaveraceae
Exons: 7
Source: RefSeq, a predicted model, not a curated record
UGGAACCUCUUGUGUCUGAUGCUUCUCUCUGAAUUCUAGUAUUUCGUCUUGCUUCUUGUCUGAAAGUCUUCCUUCUCAUCUGAUUAUUUCACUCUGAUUUCCCAUCGAUGCUUGAUCGACGAGUUUUGGACUCAUCAAUAUGCUUUAGGAAAAUCUUGAAUCACCCAUUCAGGGUUAUUUGAUUUUGUGGUUUAUGUGGCAAAAUCGAAUCAGAAAGAUGAUGAAGAGGAAUGGGCCGGAUAACAAAAAGGGUCUUUUGAUUUUGUUGGUUUUCUACUAUUAUUCCAAGAAGCAACCACCCUAUGAUUCAUCAUCAUCAGCAUCAAAUCUGAUGGCUGAAAACUCAAAAACUUCAGCAUAUUAUCAAACAAGGGACUGUUGAAUGGACGUUAUGACAUGAUGGCGAUGGUGUCAAUGUAACAGAUCUUAAUUUUGGUUGGGGAUCUGAUAUGGUGAUCCUCAUCCCUCGGAAGAAAGCUUCUUUAUCUCGGCUUCCUUAAGGAUACUCCCAUUGGGACGAGUAUUUGUUCUUAGAGGGGGAUUGUCUUAUGAAACUUUCAUGUAAGUGUAAAAGUUCAUAGCUGAUUAUGGUGGAUUAUGUACGAGAUGACUAUGUAAUAAAACUUGGAUGAAAAUGUAA